GUGCAAAUGAUGUAGACUGAUUCUGCUGAAUAAUGUGAUGUUCAAAGGAACCACUGAUGCAC
RNAcentral lists this small nucleolar RNA (62 nucleotides) under Malurus cyaneus samueli. Its description in RNAcentral is "Small nucleolar RNA SNORD42 (ENSMCSG00000001544.1)". It matches the Rfam family "Small nucleolar RNA SNORD42". Rfam says of the family: snoRNA U42 is found in intron 3 of the ribosomal protein L23a (RPL23a) gene in humans and is also present in mice. U42 is a member of the C/D class of snoRNA which contain C (UGAUGA) and D (CUGA) box motifs. Most of the members of the box C/D family function in directing site-specific 2'-O-methylation of substrate RNAs. The record is from Rfam by way of RNAcentral. Lineage: Eukaryota; Metazoa; Chordata; Aves; Passeriformes; Maluridae.